Molecule: long non-coding RNA, 413 nt
Filed under: Brassica napus (rape)
Lineage: Eukaryota; Viridiplantae; Streptophyta; Magnoliopsida; Brassicales; Brassicaceae
Description: long non-coding RNA (BNAP_LNC025821)
Source: RNAcentral
AGGGAUUUUGCAGUGAUUCAACCUGCGCAAGUUGCAACAAACAGUUAGUCUCUAGCACUCUUUUCUGAAUAUUAGAAUAAUUUUGUUUGUUUAGUGCUCUCAGAUCCUUUUUUAUGCAUUUCAGCUUCCAACACAGGCUUGUGAGAUUUGCUGCAGUGCUUCCGGCCCCAGCCCACGCCAGAGAGACCACUUGGAGAAAGGUCGGGUGUUUAGUCAAGUAGUUCAGAAAUCUAAAAGGCUGGGUUCCUACUUUAGGGAGUUGAAAUGCAAGGUCAGUAAGGCAAGGAGAAUGGUCAUAGGGCAAGGGAGGGAGGAAGGAGGCGAAAGCAUUAGGGAAGAUGGAGAGGAUGUGGUUGUUUAUGAGUAAACGGUCUAGUUUCUUAGCUAUGGGGGAGACAGGGCAGGAAUUGGUC